CCUACGGGUGGCAGCAGUAGGGAAUCUUUCACAAUGGGCGAAAGCCUGAUGGAGCAACGCCGCGUGCAGGAUGAAGGCCUUCGGGUUGUAAACUGCUUUUAUAAGCGAGAAAUAUGAUGGUAACUUAUGAAUAAGGAUCGGCUAACUACGUGCCAGCAGCCGCGGUAAUACGUAGGGGGCAAGCGUUAUCCGGAUUUACUGGGUGUAAAGGGAGCGUAGGCGGUGAUGCAAGUCAGAAGUGAAAGCCCGCAGCUCAACUGCGGGACUGCUUUUGAAACUGUAUGACUAGAUUGCAGGAGAGGUAAGUGGAAUUCCUAGUGUAGCGGUGAAAUGCGUAGAUAUUAGGAGGAACACCAGUGGCGAAGGCGGCUUACUGGACUGUAAAUGACGCUGAGGCUCGAAAGCGUGGGGAGCAAACAGGAUUAGAUACCCCAGUAGUC
Molecule: ribosomal RNA, 440 nt
Filed under: uncultured bacterium
Lineage: Bacteria
Description: partial 16S ribosomal RNA
Rfam family: Bacterial small subunit ribosomal RNA
Source: RNAcentral